This is a long non-coding RNA of Belonocnema kinseyi, 448 nucleotides long. RefSeq lists it as uncharacterized. The transcript is spliced from 3 exons. The record is from RefSeq and is a predicted model, not a curated record. Lineage: Eukaryota; Metazoa; Arthropoda; Insecta; Hymenoptera; Cynipidae.
CCACGCUGGCAUCAAUUCCUUAAAUUUUCGGAAAUAUUUUGGAUUUUUUUCCGAACUUAAGUUUUGUUCGCUCUAUCUAUUGUUUAAUUCAUUGAAGCACCAAACUUAGUAAGUCAAAAACAAGUGUUUGACUUUCUUCAUCAGAAAAUUCAUCUGAUUUGAGUAUUACAAUUCUUUUUAUGGAAGCCUUAAAAUUGUGUAUCGAUUCUUCAGACAUGCAAAUGUACUAAAGCUGCUAGUGCUAGCGUGAUAAAAGUUUCAUGUUUCAGCGGUCAAAACUGUACAAUUAACGACGGAUAAUGAGCAAUGAAAUGAUGCUUUGGUCGCAAAGGAAUGUCUGCAAAGCAAAGUAUCCUCAGAUCUAAAUAUUGGUGGAUCUCUUCUUGUAGAAGGGCAACUGUUUCCAUGGAUAUUACAGGAACACAUACCUUGAAAAAAUCUUCAGCUA